Non-coding RNA from Pteropus vampyrus (large flying fox), 202 nucleotides. The record is from Rfam. Lineage: Eukaryota; Metazoa; Chordata; Mammalia; Chiroptera; Pteropodidae.
CUAGGAGAACCGAAAACAGUUCUAGACAGACCUGGGGUUUUAUAGCACUUUUGGCAGUCAACUUCAGGUUGUGCCUGAGCAGACCGGCUGCGGUGGCCCGCCAGCGGGGGACACCAGCCGCCUCCCCCAGCUGCACGCAGCCUCUCUCCUAAUUAUAUCGGUUUCCCCUGGGUGCCAAGAAGAAGGGGUUCCCACAGAAAGG